This is a non-coding RNA of Pelobates cultripes (western spadefoot toad), 747 nucleotides long. NCBI's taxonomy places the organism in Eukaryota, Metazoa, Chordata, Amphibia, Anura, Pelobatidae. The record is from the annotation of a GenBank genome assembly.
UACCAUUCCCUUUUCUGCCUUUGUUUGCUGUAUUACAUAAUGUUACAACAAGAGUAGUGACUUUUAAUGACACAUGUACAGCUUGUAAGAAGGCAGUUGUAUUAACACAUGUGGACGGAAUAGGUGUGUGUGUGUCGUGUUUGACUUUUGGUUCUAUGAUAGUGGAUGAAGGACAGUAAUAAGGUGUAAAAAUAUAAGGUAGUGUAUAGUUCUCAAUUGCAGUGUCGUUCAUAAUGACUAACAUUUGUCCCUUUUUCCAAUUAAUGAUACCAGUUAUAUAAUCAUUAUUAAAAGUAAUAAGGCCUGUCUAUUUACAUUGAUAUGCAACCUUAACUGUGCACAUUUCUGCGUUAUAAGAUCUAACAAUUUUCUGUGAACCUUUAAACAAACAUAAUGCAUCGGUUUCAUUAGCUGUAGACACAUUUCAUAUGGGUAACUGGUACUUAUAAGGGUUACUAUUUGUCCAAUUCAUCCAAAUGCGUUCAGUAAAUGAAUGAUUGCAUAUUGCAUGCUGAUAGAAAGGUGGUGGAGAAAGGUUCUUGAGGGGGUGUGUGUGACGAAUGCUAGAUGAGGAGCUAAGGCCUAAUUGGGCUGGGGGUAUUGAAGAAUUGUUCAUCAUGUCAGUCUUUUUUCAGAAACAAACAGGUUUCAAACUUGCCAUUGACUUGUACUCAUAAUGGCAUUCAAGGAACAAUAUCAGAGGGAGUAUAACAACUCCAGAAAGCAUAGCGCACAACAUAAUCUUGG